Molecule: long non-coding RNA, 436 nt
Organism: Toxotes jaculatrix (banded archerfish)
Lineage: Eukaryota; Metazoa; Chordata; Actinopteri; Toxotidae
Exons: 3
Source: RefSeq, a predicted model, not a curated record
AGGCUGAUGUCAUCACCCUCGUCCAGGAAGGCACCAACAGAGAUGGAGUUGCAGAAUUUUUUGGGCUUGCCUGCAAACAGGGAUGAUGAAUCAACAACACAGACUGGACUUGCAGCUUCCCUGCUACAGAAUAGUUGAGCGUACCUGGAGAGGGGCUUUUGAACCUGUUGCUGGUCUCGUUCUCCCCGGCCUCCUCAUGAACCCGCGGGUUGAAAUCCUUCUUGCUCAGGAUCAGAUUUGAGGAUGUCGGCUCGGUCUCUAGGUGGUGUCUUCCAGGACCGACGAAAAUCAUCUGCCUACAGGAAAAGGUUAGAUUUUCUAGCCAAGACCUCUUUCAAAUGAUAACAAUGAAACCGGUUUGGAUCUCCAAACUUUAUGAUGUGAUUUUCUGAAAUACACAGAAAGAGACAGGUGUUUAGGUAAAGAACUUGCUUUA